Molecule: ribosomal RNA, 366 nt
Filed under: uncultured bacterium
Lineage: Bacteria
Description: partial 16S ribosomal RNA
Rfam family: Bacterial small subunit ribosomal RNA
Source: RNAcentral
CCUACGGGUGGCAGCAGUGGGGAAUAUUGCACAAUGGGGGAAACCCUGAUGCCGCGACGCCGCGUGAGUGAAGAAGUAUUUCGGUACGUACAGCUCUAUCAGCAGGGAAGAAAAUGACGGUACCUGACUAAGAAGCCCCGGCUAACUACGUGCCAGCAGCCGCGGUAAUACGUAGGGGGCAAGAGUUAUCCGGAUUUUUUGGGUGUAAAGGGAGCUGAGACGGCACGGCAAGUCUGAAGUGAAAUCCCAUGGGUUAACCAUGGAACAGCUUUUGAAACUGUGGAGCUAGAGUGCAGGAGAGGUAAGCGGAAUUCCUAGGGGAGCGGUGAAAUGCGUAGAUAUUAUGAGGAACACCAGUUGAGAAGG